AUUGAACGCUGGCGGCAGGCCUAACACAUGCAAGUCGAGCGGAGCGGCGGACGGGCGAGUAAUCACUAGGUAGCUGCCUGGCAGUGGGGGAUAACGUCCGGAAACGGACGCUAAUAACGCACACUAUCCGAUGAGCCUAGGUCGGAUUAGCUAGUUGGUGAGGGAAUGGCUCACCAAGGCUACGAUCCGUAACUGGUCUGGGAGGAUGAUCAGUCACACUGGGACUGAGACACGGUCCAGACUCCUACGGGAGGCAGCAGUGGGGAAUAUUGGACAAAGGGCGAAAGCCUGAUACAGCCAUGCCGCGUGUGUGAAGAAGGUCUUCGGAUUGUAAAGCACUUUAAGUUGGGAGGCGUUACCGGCAGAAUAAGCACCGGCUAACUCUGUGCCAGCAGCCGCGGUAAUAC
RNAcentral lists this ribosomal RNA (407 nucleotides) under uncultured bacterium. RNAcentral describes it as "partial 16S ribosomal RNA". It matches the Rfam family "Bacterial small subunit ribosomal RNA", at positions 30 to 526 of the family's 1533-position model. The record is from RNAcentral.